GGCUUAGAAGCAGCCAUCAUUUAAAGAAAGCGUAAUAGCUCACUGGUCGAGUCGGCCUGCGCGGAAGAUGUAACGGGGCUAAACCAUGCACCGAAGCUGCGGCAGCGACACUGUGUGUUGUUGGGUAGGGGAGCGUUCUGUAAGCCUGCGAAGGUGGCCUGUGAGGGUUGCUGGAGGUAUCAGAAGUGCGAAUGCUGACAUAAGUAACGAUAAAGCGGGUGAAAAGCCCGCUCGCCGGAAGACCAAGGGUUCCUGUCCAACGUUAAUCGGGGCAGGGUGAGUCGACCCCUAAGGCGAGGCCGAAAGGCGUAGUCGAUGGGAAACGGGUUAAUAUUCCCGUACUUGGUGUUACUGCGAAGGGGGGACGGAGAAGGCUAUGUUGGCCGGGCGACGGUUGUCCCGGUUUAAGCGUGUAGGUGUGUGUUCCAGGUAAAUCCGGUUCACUUUAACACUGAGGCGUGACGACGAGGCACUACGGUGCUGAAGCAACAAAUGCCCUGCUUCCAGGAAAAGCCUCUAAGCAUCAGGUAACAUCAAAUCGUACCCCAAACCGACACAGGUGGUCAGGUAGAGAAUACCAAGGCGCUUGAGAGAACUCGGGUGAAGGAACUAGGCAAAAUGGUGCCGUAACUUCGGGAGAAGGCACGCUGACACGUAGGUGAAGUGAUUUACUCAUGGAGCUGAAGUCAGUCGAAGAUACCAGCUGGCUGCAACUGUUUAUUAAAAACACAGCACUGUGCAAACACGAAAGUGGACGUAUACGGUGUGACGCCUGCCCGGUGCCGGAAGGUUAAUUGAUGGGGUCAGCGCAAGCGAAGCUCCUGAUCGAAGCCCCGGUAAACGGCGGCCGUAACUAUAACGGUCCUAAGGUAGCGAAAUUCCUUGUCGGGUAAGUUCCGACCUGCACGAAUGGCGUAAUGAUGGCCAGGCUGUCUCCACCCGAGACUCAGUGAAAUUGAACUCGCUGUGAAGAUGCAGUGUACCCGCGGCAAGACGGAAAGACCCCGUGAACCUUUACUAUAGCUUGACACUGAACAUUGAGCCUUGAUGUGUAGGAUAGGUGGGAGGCUUUGAAGUGUGGACGCCAGUCUGCAUGGAGCCGACCUUGAAAUACCACCCUUUAAUGUUUGAUGUUCUAACGUGGACCCGUUACCCGGGUUGCGGACAGUGUCUGGUGGGUAGUUUGACUGGGGCGGUCUCCUCCUAAAGAGUAACGGAGGAGCACGAAGGUUGGCUAAUCCUGGUCGGACAUCAGGAGGUUAGUGCAAUGGCAUAAGCCAGCUUGACUGCGAGCGUGACGGCGCGAGCAGGUGCGAAAGCAGGUCAUAGUGAUCCGGUGGUUCUGAAUGGAAGGGCCAUCGCUCAACGGAUAAAAGGUACUCCGGGGAUAACAGGCUGAUACCGCCCAAGAGUUCAUAUCGACGGCGGUGUUUGGCACCUCGAUGUCGGCUCAUCACAUCCUGGGGCUGAAGUAGGUCCCAAGGGUAUGGCUGUUCGCCAUUUAAAGUGGUACGCGAGCUGGGUUUAGAACGUCGUGAGACAGUUCGGUCCCUAUCUGCCGUGGGCGCUGGAGAACUGAGGGGGGCUGCUCCUAGUACGAGAGGACCGGAGUGGACGCAUCACUGGUGUUCGGGUUGUCAUGCCAAUGGCACUGCCCGGUAGCUAAAUGCGGAAGAGAUAAGUGCUGAAAGCAUCUAAGCACGAAACUUGCCCCGAG
RNAcentral lists this ribosomal RNA (1717 nucleotides) under Salmonella enterica subsp. enterica serovar Enteritidis. RNAcentral describes it as "partial 23S ribosomal RNA". It matches the Rfam family "Bacterial large subunit ribosomal RNA", at positions 1103 to 2803 of the family's 2925-position model. The record is from RNAcentral. Lineage: Bacteria; Pseudomonadati; Pseudomonadota; Gammaproteobacteria; Enterobacterales; Enterobacteriaceae.